GGGCGAUUGGCUCAGAGGUAGAGCACUGCCUUCACACGGCAGGGGUCAGUGGUUCGAUUCCACUAUCGCCCACCA
Molecule: transfer RNA, 75 nt
Filed under: Coxiella sp. DG_40
Lineage: Bacteria; Pseudomonadati; Pseudomonadota; Gammaproteobacteria; Legionellales; Coxiellaceae
Description: tRNA-Val
Rfam family: tRNA
About the family: Transfer RNA (tRNA) molecules are approximately 80 nucleotides in length.
Source: RNAcentral